Molecule: non-coding RNA, 475 nt
Organism: Carica papaya (papaya)
Lineage: Eukaryota; Viridiplantae; Streptophyta; Magnoliopsida; Brassicales; Caricaceae
Source: RefSeq, a predicted model, not a curated record
GCUCCAUUUCAACAAUGACAUUUCUGUAUUUAUUUCCCUAAUUUAGGAGCAACACAAAUCAUGAACAUGAUCAACCUGCUCAUCUUCGCUUGCGAGACCCCAAGAUUCCUGAGCUAGUGAACUUGCCAGACUAUGCUGGACCCGAGUCACGAUAUUGCCCGGCCCGUGUCUAUGAAUACAUACCAGAUGAAGGAGGUCAGCUAAAGUUGCAGAUCAAUGCUCAAAACUGUUUGCAUUGCAAGGCAUGUGAUAUCAAAGAUCCGAAGCAAAACAUUGAAUGGACAGUGCCUGAGGGAGGUGGUGGCCCUGGAUAUUCACUCAUGUAGGAAAACCUUACCUACCUUCUCUCUCUCUGUCACAACAGGAUGUUUUGUGGGUUGUAGUUAUAAUAACAGUAAUCCAUGGAUUUGUAGAUUCUUUUAUUUAUUUUAACACUUUCUGGUUAAUUGAGAAGUCAUGUGGAUUGAUUUGAAAA